Molecule: ribosomal RNA, 253 nt
Filed under: uncultured bacterium
Lineage: Bacteria
Description: partial 16S ribosomal RNA
Rfam family: Bacterial small subunit ribosomal RNA
Source: RNAcentral
UACGUAGGGGGCUAGCGUUGUCCGGAAUCAUUGGGCGUAAAGAGCGUGUAGGCGGUCCGGUAAGUCCGCUGUGAAAGUCGGGGGCUCAACCCUCGAAUGCCGGUGGAUACUGUCGGGCUAGAGUACGGAAGAGGCGAGUGGAAUUCCUGGUGUAGCGGUGAAAUGCGCAGAUAUCAGGAGGAACACCUAUUGCGAAGGCAGCUCGCUGGGGCGUAACUGACGCUGAGACGCGAAAGCGUGGGGAGCAAACAGG